Molecule: long non-coding RNA, 1428 nt
Organism: Ictalurus furcatus (blue catfish)
Lineage: Eukaryota; Metazoa; Chordata; Actinopteri; Siluriformes; Ictaluridae
Exons: 3
Source: RefSeq, a predicted model, not a curated record
UUUUUUUUUUUUUUUGCUUUCACAAAAUGGCUGCCAAUCAUCAAAACUUUCUGCUAUGAGUGAUGCGCGUGAAAAAUCUGAUUGGCUCCGAUUCGCAGGCUUUUUACUCUGUUGCUGAGGCAAAUCUAAGUAGAUCAGAGAUAUAUUGGCUCCAAUUCGUGGUCUUUUUACUAUCCGGUGUUGACUGCCAAGGCAAGACAAGAAACAAGAAAGCUGCUCCCACCAUGUAUGUAGUAAUUAAAUGUUUAAAAGAAAAAUGAGUGUGGGCUUGGAGAGAUGUGUAAAGGAGAAAAAAUGCUGAGUGAUCCAAAGAGGACUGGAUUGGUGGAGCACGGAGCGGUUGGAGUAAAGACACCUGAAGGCGGCUGGAAAGCUUUUCUGGCCCAUUUUACAUGUAAAUAUAGCCGAAAUCACAGAACAGCCACUGUCUUUAACUGAUGUGUAUGAUGAUUUUGUCAGACAACAGAAAGGAUUUGAGCAGAGCAGCAGCUUGGACGUGACUGCUGGUUAACAUGAGUUCUGAAGUCAAACACCAAACAAAUCGGAGAAGUAAUAAUCAAUUCAAAUAUAAUGGAUCUACAAACCAUCGCCUUUUCUAUUUCAUUUUUGUAUGUAUAGAACUUGAAACAUUUUUGGGUGGUGCACAUGUUACUAUUCAGUCUUACUCAUACUCAUCAUAACUGCUGACCUUUUACACCUUUCCCCAAUACACGUGUUUUUCAGAUAGACGAUGAUCCAUACAGGACUCCAAAACAGACAAAGACCAUGUCCAAAACGUUCCCAGAGUUCCCAAACACUGAGAUCAAGGCCUGCAUGGCACUAAAAUGAAAAGACACCAGGAGACAAGCAGAAAGGGAGCCUAUUGGAGGAGACGCAGCAGAGGACUGAGACAACACACACGCACAAACACACACAAAUAAACAAAUAAACUCAACUAAAAAAGAAAAUAAAAGCUUGAUUUGAAUCAAUUUGUUUUAAUGUCUUUAUUGAGGGAAAUAUGAGCAUAGACCUUACAGAAGAACAUGGUGCUGUUUGGCAUGGUAAAUUACUGCUUACUCAAUGUGUAGCUGCUAUUUACAAUGUUUUUAUAAAAAAUGUAAGUACAAAGACUAUUUUGUAUUGUACACACCCACUUGUGUCUCACAUGUAAUCACACGGGAAUUUACAUGGGAUUCACACAUUAAACCAUGAAAGUGUUCCAAAACCACACGUUUCCCAUGUGCAAAGAGCAUGUUUCACGUGUUCCACAUACUGCACUUGUCAUUUUAACAAGUUUUCACACAUUAAAUGUGCAAAGGGCAUGACUGUCCCACUGCUGCCCUGGUUCUGCUGAGUGUAAUCAUCAUCCACGCUGUUUCCUACAUUACUGUACACGCUGCUUCCUACAUUACUGUACACACUGUUUCCUCUCUGGUGUGUUUAGUACUA